UACGGAGGGUGCAAGCGUUAUCCGGAUUCACUGGGUUUAAAGGGAGCUUAGGCGGAAUAAUAAGUCAGUGGUGAAGGCCCCGGGCUCAACUUGGGAAUUGCCAUUGAUACUGUUAUUCUUGAGUUCGGUUGAGGUAGGCGGAAUGUUGCAUGUAGCGGUGAAAUGCUUAGAUAUGCAACAGAACACCGAUUGCGAAGGCAGCUUACCAAGCCGACACUGACGCUGAGGCUCGAAAGCGUGGGGAUCAAACAGG
Molecule: ribosomal RNA, 253 nt
Filed under: uncultured bacterium
Lineage: Bacteria
Description: partial 16S ribosomal RNA
Rfam family: Bacterial small subunit ribosomal RNA
Source: RNAcentral